AACGAACGCUGGCGGCAUGCCUAACACAUGCAAGUCGAACGCCUGUAGCAAUACAGGAGUGGCGCACGGGUGAGUAACGCGUGGGAACCUGCCCUGGAGUGGGGGAUAACCGAGAGAAAUUUCGGCUAAUACCGCAUACGACCUGAGGGUGAAAGAUUUAUCGCUCUAGGAGGGGCCCGCGUCGGAUUAGCUAGUUGGUGAGGUAACGGCUCACCAAGGCUACGAUCCGAGCUGGUCUGAGAGGAUGAUCAGCCACACUGGGACUGAGACACGGCCCAGACUCUACGGGAGGCAGCAGUGGGGAAUAUUGGACAAUGGGGGCAACCCUGAUCCAGCAAUGCCGCGUGAGUGAUGAAGCCUUAGGGUUGUAAAGCUCUUUCGGCGGGGACGAUGAUGACGGUACCCGCAGAAGAAGCCCCGGCUAACUUCGUGCCAGCCGCCGCCGUAAG
This 449-nucleotide ribosomal RNA is filed under the name uncultured bacterium. Its description in RNAcentral is "bacterial SSU rRNA". It matches the Rfam family "Bacterial small subunit ribosomal RNA", at positions 29 to 524 of the family's 1533-position model. The record is from RNAcentral.